CUGUUUCAUGUAAUCGCAAGAGGAACAUAUCACAAAAAUCUGUUCUGGCCUGAAGGAUCAUUUUUAAGAAGUAUAAAAAAUCCUAAAUGGCAAGAAAAACAGUCUUCUAGAACUCUCAUGAUCAUCAGGACACGGCUGUUCCCCUCAGAGUGUCUGCAGGCCCUUUCCUGAUGGCUCCAGACCCUCAGGCAGGACUUGGGGUAGUACAGGGUGGGCCUUACUGCCUCUGCUCUUGUUCUCCCCUGGGAUGCACUUUUCUCCUGUGUCUGCCUGGGAACAUUUACGCCAGCUUGGAAACCAGCUCAAAAAUCACCUCCUCCAAAGUCCUCAGACAAAGAGGGAUAGAAGAGAAAAACAUGGCUAUUAAAGUGUUCAGAUGGAUGGUGUUUAUCAGUCUACUACACAAUGUAAGUACUAGUGCUGUGCCAGGUCCCAUGCUCGAUGCUCCAGGAUGGUGCUUCACCACCUAUGAUCAAGGCCCAGCCACUGCCAUUCCCAAUUCUUGCAGACUGAUGCAUGGCCCUAUGCUCAUGGCUUGCGUAUCAUCUGUACAACAUGGGACAUUCCUCAGUGCAGGAAUUCAACAGUACUCAGUCUGGUCUAGAUCCUAUUCAACCAAGCGAGCCCAGGAUACAAGCUUGGAUGUAGAUGUCACAACAGUGGCACACUGCAGGAAAAUUCCUAAAUCUUAGUCUCAAAUUGCUGUACUUACCUCGUUCCAGUUCCAUACGAGUUUGCUGAUAGAUACUGGUCUGCACUCCAGUUUGAAUAGCACCACUCUGAGACAUACAGAGAAAUAUAAAAUUCCUGCUCUCACACAAAUAAAACAAAAUUCCUGCUUUUUAAAAAAUAUUUUAUUUAUUUGUUUGAGACGAGUCAA
Canis lupus familiaris (dog) is the source of this 880-nucleotide long non-coding RNA. RefSeq lists it as uncharacterized. The transcript has 3 exons. The record is from RefSeq and is a predicted model, not a curated record. NCBI's taxonomy places the organism in Eukaryota, Metazoa, Chordata, Mammalia, Carnivora, Canidae.